GACGAACGCUGGCGGCGUGCUUAACACAUGCCAGUCGAACGGAAAGGCCCUGCUUUUGUGGGGUGCUCGCGUGGCGAACGGGUGAGUAACACGUGAGUAACCUGCCCUUGACUUUGGGAUAACUUCAGGAAACUGGGGCUAAUACCGGAUAGGAGCUCCUGCUGCAUGGUGGGGUUUGGAAAGUUUCGGCGGUUGGGGAUGGACUCGCGGCUUAUCAGCUUGUUGGUGGGGUAGUGGCUUACCAAGGCUUUGACGGGUGGCCGGCCUGAGAGGGUGACCGGCGACAUUGGGACUGAGAUACGGCCCAGACUCCUACGGGAGGCAGCAGUGGGGAAUAUUGCACAAUGGGCGGAAGCCUGAUGAAGAAACGCCGCGAGCGGGAUGAAGGCCUUCGGGGUGUAAACCGCUGUCGGCUGUGACGAAGCGUGAGUGACGGUAAUGGGUAAAGAAGCACCGGCUAACUACGUG
Molecule: ribosomal RNA, 468 nt
Filed under: uncultured bacterium
Lineage: Bacteria
Description: partial 16S ribosomal RNA
Rfam family: Bacterial small subunit ribosomal RNA
Source: RNAcentral